RNAcentral lists this ribosomal RNA (494 nucleotides) under uncultured bacterium. RNAcentral's name for it is "bacterial SSU rRNA". It matches the Rfam family "Bacterial small subunit ribosomal RNA", at positions 29 to 518 of the family's 1533-position model. The record is from RNAcentral.
AUGAACGCUAGCGACAGGCCUAACACAUGCAAGUCGAGGGGCAGCACAAGGAGCAAUCUGAGGUGGCGACCGGCGCACGGGUGAGUAACACGUAUGCAACCUGCCUGUAAGCGGGGAAUAACCCGUUGAAAGACGGACUAAUACCGCAUAAUACUAAAUUACUGCAUGGUAAUUUAUUUAAACAUUUAUGGCUUACAGAUGGGCAUGCGCAUGAUUAGCUAGUUGGAGAGGUAACGGCUCCCCAAGGCAACGAUCAUUAGGGGUUCUGAGAGGAAGGUCCCCCACACUGGUACUGAGACACGGACCAGACUCCUACGGGAGGCAGCAGUGAGGAAUAUUGGUCAAUGGACGAGAGUCUGAACCAGCCAAGUCGCGUGCAGGAAGAAUGUCCUAUGGAUUGUAAACUGCUUUUGCAGGAGAAUAAAGUGCAUCACGUGUGAUGUUUUGUAUGUACUCUGCGAAUAAGGAUCGGCUAACUCCGUGCCAGCAGCUGC